RNAcentral lists this ribosomal RNA (435 nucleotides) under uncultured bacterium. RNAcentral's name for it is "partial 16S ribosomal RNA". It matches the Rfam family "Bacterial small subunit ribosomal RNA", at positions 29 to 507 of the family's 1533-position model. The record is from RNAcentral.
AGCGAACGCUGGCGGCAGGCUUAACACAUGCAAGUCGAGCGGGCAGAGCAAGAUGUCAGCGGCAGACGGGUGAGGAACGCGAGGGAACGUACCUCUGGGUUCGGAACAACUGAGGGAAACUUCAGCUAAUACCGGACAAGCCCGUACGGGGAGAGAUUUAUCGCCGAAGGAUCGGCCCGCGUCUGAUUAGCUAGUUGGUGAGGUAAUGGCCCACCAAGGCGACGAUCCGUAGCUGGUCUGAGAGGAUGAUCAGCCACAUUGGGACUGAGACACGGCCCAAACUCCUACGGGAAGCAGCAGUGGGGAAUAUUGGACAAUGGGCGCAAGCCUGAUCCAGCCAUGCCGCGUGAGUGAUGAAGGCCCUAGGGUUGUAAAGCUCUUUUGUGCGUGAAGAUAAUGACGGUACCGCAAGAAUAAGCCCCGGCUAACUUCGUG